UGGGGAAUAUUGCACAAUGGGCGCAAGCCUGAUGCAGCCAUGCCGCGUGUAUGAAGAAGGCCUUCGGGUUGUAAAGUACUUUCAGCGAGGAGGAAGGCGUUGUGGUUAAUAACCGCAACGAUUGACGUUACUCGCAGAAGAAGCACCGGCUAACUCCGUGCCAGCAGCCGCGGUAAUACGGAGGGUGCAAGCGUUAAUCGGAAUUACUGGGCGGAAAGCGCACGCAGGCGGUCUGUCAAGUCGGAUGUGAAAUCCCCGGGCUCAACCUGGGAACUGCAUCCGAAACUGGCAGGCUAGAGUCUUGUAGAGGGGGGUAGAAUUCCAGGUGUAGCGGUGAAAUGCGUAGAGAUCUGGAGGAAUACCGGUGGCGAAGGCGGCCCCCUGGACAAAGACUGACGCUCAGGUGCGAAAGCGUGGGGAGCAAACA
RNAcentral lists this ribosomal RNA (427 nucleotides) under uncultured bacterium. RNAcentral describes it as "partial 16S ribosomal RNA". It matches the Rfam family "Bacterial small subunit ribosomal RNA", at positions 355 to 774 of the family's 1533-position model. The record is from RNAcentral.